This 512-nucleotide ribosomal RNA is filed under the name uncultured bacterium. RNAcentral's name for it is "bacterial SSU rRNA". It matches the Rfam family "Bacterial small subunit ribosomal RNA", at positions 32 to 518 of the family's 1533-position model. The record is from RNAcentral.
AACGCUGGCGGCGUGCCUAAUACAUGCAAGUCGAACGGUCUUUCUAUGGAAGCUUGCUUCCACUGAGAAGAUAGUGGCGAACGGGUGAGUAACACGUGGGUAACCUGCCCAUAAGAGGGGGAUAACAUCCGGAAACGGUGCUAAUACCGCAUAGUUUCUUGAUCGCAUGAUCGGGAAAGGAAAGACGGCCUUUGUGCUGUCGCUUAUGGAUGGACCCGCGGCGUAUUAGUUAGUUGGUGAGGUAACGGCUCACCAAGACGAUGAUACGUAGCCGACCUGAGAGGGUGAUCGGCCACAUUGGGACUGAGACACGGCCCAAACUCCUACGGGAGGCAGCAGUAGGGAAUCUUCCGCAAUGGACGAAAGUCUGACGGAGCAACGCCGCGUGAGUGAAGAAAAGGUUUUCGGAUCGUAAAACUCUGUUGUCAGAGAAGAACAAGUUGGAGAGUAACUGCUCCAGCCUUGACGGUAUCUGACCAGAAAGCCACGGCUAACUACGUGCCAGCCGCAGC